UACGUAGGGGGCAAGCGUUGUCCGGAUUUAUUGGGCGUAAAGAGCGUGUAGGCGGCCAGGUAGGUCUGCUGUGAAAACUCGAGGCUUAACCUCGAGCUGUCGGCGGAAACCAUCUGGCUAGAGGCCGGAAGAGGAGAAUGGAAUUCCCGGUGUAGCGGUGAAAUGCGCAGAUAUCGGGAAGAACACCCGUGGCGAAGGCGGUGCGCUGGGACGGUACUGACGCUGAGACGCGAAAGCGUGGGGAGCGAACAGG
Molecule: ribosomal RNA, 253 nt
Filed under: uncultured bacterium
Lineage: Bacteria
Description: partial 16S ribosomal RNA
Rfam family: Bacterial small subunit ribosomal RNA
Source: RNAcentral